Molecule: ribosomal RNA, 763 nt
Filed under: uncultured archaeon
Lineage: Archaea
Description: bacterial SSU rRNA
Rfam family: Archaeal small subunit ribosomal RNA
Source: RNAcentral
UGCGAGUUGAAUGUCCGAGAGGGCAUAGCGCACUGCUCAGUAACACGUGGACAACCUGCCCUGAGGACUGGAAUAAUCCCGGGAAACUGGGGGUAAUUCCAGAUAAGCCAGGAUUUCUGGAAUGGGUUCUGGCAGAAAGGCUCCGGCGCCUCAGGAUGGGUCUGCGGCCUAUCAGGGUAGUAGUGGGUGUAACGUACCUACUAGCCUACGACGGGUACGGGUUGUGAGAGCAAGAGCCCGGAGAUGGAUUCUGAGACAUGAAUCCAGGCCCUACGGGGUGCAGCAGGCGCGAAAACUUUACAAUGCGGGCAACCGCGAUAAGGGGACCUCGAGUGCUGGGUUACAAACCUGGCUGUUGGGCUGCCUAAAAAGCAGUCUAUAGCAAGGGCCGGGCAAGACCGGUGCCAGCCGCCGCGGUAACACCGGCGGCUCGAGUGGUAACCGCUAUUAUUGGGUCUAAAGGGUCUGUAGCCUGCCGGCUAAGUCUCUUGGGAAAUCUGGCAUCUCAAGUGUCAGGCUGCCAGGGGAUACUGGUCGGCUUGGGACCGGGAGAGGUGAGAGGUACCUCAGGGGUAGGGGUGAAAUCUUGUAAUCCUUGAGGGACCACCAGUGGCGAAGGCGUCUCACCAGAACGGAUCCGACGGCAAGGGACGAAAGCUAGGGGCACGAACCGGAUUAGAUACCCGGGUAGUCCUAGCCGUAAACGAUACUCGCUAGGUGUCGGCCACGGUGCGACCGUGGUCGGUGCCGUAGGGAAGCCGUG